This 395-nucleotide unclassified non-coding RNA is filed under the name soil metagenome. RNAcentral's name for it is "partial contains 5.8S ribosomal RNA, internal transcribed spacer 2, and large subunit ribosomal RNA". The stretch from base 1 to 120 matches the Rfam family "5.8S ribosomal RNA", at positions 35 to 154 of the family's 154-position model. The record is from RNAcentral.
GAUGAAGAACGUAGCGAAAUGCGAUAAGUAAUGUGAAUUGCAGAAUUCAGUGAAUCGUCGAAUCUUUGAACGCACCUUGCGCCUUUUGGUAUUCCGAAAGGCACACCUGUUUGAGCGUCAUGAAUACCUCAAUCUCCAUCUUUUCUUCGGAUUGAUGGGUGACUUGGAUGUUGAGCCCUGCUGGUAUGCUAUAUCAGCUGGCUUUAAACUUAUUAGCCGGCUCUGUACUGGAUCGGUUUGACUCGACGUGAUAAUAUUAUCGUUGAGGAUGCAUGUCUCAUGCAGCCGGAAAGUAUCAAAGCAGCUUCUAGCUUGCCUUUAGUGCACUUUUACAUUUUAGACCUCAGAUCAGGUGGGACUACCCGCUGAACUUAAGCAUAUCAAUAAGCGGAGGA